Long non-coding RNA from Bubalus bubalis (water buffalo), 1013 nucleotides. RefSeq lists it as uncharacterized. Lineage: Eukaryota; Metazoa; Chordata; Mammalia; Artiodactyla; Bovidae. The record is from RefSeq and is a predicted model, not a curated record. The transcript has 2 exons.
UUCCCCUCCGCCCCAGUGUAUACUCCUCCCCUACCGGCCCUCGCUAUAGCCUUCCACUGACCCCAGAGGUUGGCCGGUCUUCUUCAACACUUCCAUCCCAGCCUCUGACUGUAGCUUUCCACAACAUAUAUAACCUCACCCCCCAUUAAAUAUUAAGUGUGUUAGUCGCUCAGUCGUGUCGACUUUUUGCGACCCCAUGGACUGUAGCCCACCAGGCUCCUCUGUCCAUGGAAUUCUCCAGGCAAGGAUACUGGAGUGCUUUGCCAUUUCCUCCUCCAGGGAAUCUUCCUGACCCAGGGAUUGAACCCCGGGCCCCUGCACUGCACGGAGAUUCUUUUCCGUCUGAGCUACCAGGGAAGCCCUCCACUAAAUAUUGGUGGAAGGCAGUCCAACCACUCAGUGGUCUCAGUGUGGCCCUCCUCUACUCUGGGUGUGGAGGGGGAAUAGUGGGGGAGGAACAAAGGAUCAUUUUCUUCAAGGUUCUUGGAGUUGCCUAGUUUGAACUUUUUUAAAAUUCGGAUUUCUGGAUCCUCCCCCAGACUUUGUGAAGCGGUAUCUCAGAGGCUGGCCUUGGAAUCUGCAUUUGAACAAUAGGGACUAUUUAAGGUGUGAAACUUUGGCCCAAUGUUGCUGGUCUCGUGGUGGAGGAGAAAGGGGAAGAAAGGAAUGGUCCUCAUCACCCAGGUGGCCGCCUGAAGCUGGCUUUUGCCCUCUGGAAUUCUGAAGAUGCCUGAUGGAGAUACGUUUCACUGGAAGUCGUUGCCCUGGCACUUCUAUUACUUCUCAGUGAUGACCUCAGCUACCUUCGUCCUGGUUUUGGUGCGACUGGGGCCCAUGUUGGCAAGUCCUUGGCAAGACAGUGAAAUUUUGUUUACCUCCUAAUCCUCUACAAGAGAUGGCUUCUAAAUCUCACCUCUCCCAGCUCUCAGGCUGUGCUAGGGGGCUGACCCUGGGCAGCUGUUGCCUUGCACUGUCAGUUAUAAAUAAAUAAAAGCCCCCUUACUUCCUCCAGA